GAUGAACGCUGGCGGCGUGCCUAAUACAUGCAAGUCGAGCGAACAGACGAGGAGCUUGCUCCUCUGACGUUAGCGGCGGACGGGUGAGUAACACGUGGAUAACCUACCUAUAAGACUGGGAUAACUUCGGGAAACCGGAGCUAAUACCGGAUAAUAUAUUGAACCGCAUGGUUCAAUAGUGAAAGACGGUUUUGCUGUCCCUUAUAGGUGGAUCCGCGCCGCAUUAGCUAGUUGGUAAGGUAACGGCUUACCAAGGCGACGUAGCGUACCCGACCUGAGGGGGUGAUCGGCCACACUGGAACUGAGAAACGGUCCAGACUCCUACGGGAGGCAGCAGUAGGGAAUCUUCCGCAAUGGGCGAAAGCCUGACGGAGCAACGCCGCGUGAGUGAUGAAGGUCUUCGGAUCGUAAAACUCUGUUAUUAGGGAAGAACAAAUGUGUAAGUAACUAUGCACGUCUUGACGGUACCUAAUCAGAAAGCCACGGCUAACUACGUG
This 497-nucleotide ribosomal RNA is filed under the name uncultured bacterium. RNAcentral describes it as "partial 16S ribosomal RNA". It matches the Rfam family "Bacterial small subunit ribosomal RNA", at positions 28 to 507 of the family's 1533-position model. The record is from RNAcentral.